This 497-nucleotide ribosomal RNA is filed under the name uncultured bacterium. Its description in RNAcentral is "bacterial SSU rRNA". It matches the Rfam family "Bacterial small subunit ribosomal RNA", at positions 31 to 518 of the family's 1533-position model. The record is from RNAcentral.
GAACGCUAGCGACAGGCCUAACACAUGCAAGUCGAGGGGCAGCACAAGGAGCAAUCUGAGGUGGCGACCGGCGCGACGGGUGAGUAACACGUAUGCAACCUGCCUGUAAGACGGGGAAUAACCCGUUGAAAGACGGACUAAUACCGCAUAAUACUAAAUUACUGCAUGGUAAUUUAUUUAAACAUUUAUGGCUUACAGAUGGGCAUGCGCAUGAUUAGCUAGUUGGAGAGGUAACGGCUCCCCAAGGCAACGAUCAUUAGGGGUUCUGAGAGGAAGGUCCCCCCACACUGGUACUGAGACACGGACCAGACUCCUACGGGAGGCAGCAGUGAGGAAUAUUGGUCAAUGGACGAGAGUCUGAACCAGCCAAGUCGCGUGCAGGAAGAAUGUUCCCUAUGGAUUGUAAACUGCUUUUGCAGGGGAAUAAAGUGCAUCACGUGUGAUGUUUUGUAUGUACUCUGCGAAUAAGGAUCGGCUAACUCCGUGCCAGCCGCCGC